GAUGAACGCUGGCGGCGUGCUUAACACAUGCAAGUCGAACGGUGAAGCAGGAGCUUGCUCUUGUGGAUCAGUGGCGAACGGGUGAGUAACACGUGAGCAACCUGCCCCUGACUCUGGGAUAAGCGCUGGAAACGGCGUCUAAUACUGGAUAUGUGAUGUGACCGCAUGGUCUGCAUCUGGAAAGAAUUUCGGUUGGGGAUGGGCUCGCGGCCUAUCAGCUUGUUGGUGAGGUAAUGGCUCACCAAGGCGUCGACGGGUAGCCGGCCUGAGAGGGGGACCGGCCACACUGGGACUGAGACACGGCGCAGACUCCUACGGGAGGCAGCAGUGGAGAAUAUUGCACAAUGGGCGGAAGCCUGAUGCAGCAACGCCGCGUGAGGGAUGACGGCCUUCGGGUUGUAAACCUCUUUUAGCAGGGAAGAAGCGAAAGUGACGGUACCUGCAGAAAAAGCACCGGCUAACUACGUGCCAGUCGCCGCAGUAA
RNAcentral lists this ribosomal RNA (484 nucleotides) under uncultured bacterium. RNAcentral's name for it is "partial 16S ribosomal RNA". It matches the Rfam family "Bacterial small subunit ribosomal RNA", at positions 28 to 523 of the family's 1533-position model. The record is from RNAcentral.